Molecule: long non-coding RNA, 266 nt
Filed under: Elaeis guineensis (African oil palm)
Lineage: Eukaryota; Viridiplantae; Streptophyta; Magnoliopsida; Arecales; Arecaceae
Description: long non-coding RNA (EGUI_LNC054459)
Source: RNAcentral
AUUACUGUGAAUGUCAUAGGUAGAUAUCAGUUGCAUCCAAGCUGAGAGUGCUGGACUGCUGUAAAAAUAUCCUUAAGCUCUUCAGAAGAACUAAGGAUAUAUUUUUAAUUUGGAGAAGGAUCAAAGCUAGGAGUGGGAGGACACAUUAAUUCAAAUUUUAUGUCUGAUAUUGAUGGUAGAAUAUCUACAUCAUGGGGUGUGCUCUUUUGUCGAUAUUUUGAAAAGAUUGUAAAUAAUCGAUCAAUGGAAGCUGAGUACAUUAUAGA